UAUGAGUUUGAAUGGUAACACAAU
RNAcentral lists this non-coding RNA (24 nucleotides) under Arabidopsis thaliana (thale cress). Lineage: Eukaryota; Viridiplantae; Streptophyta; Magnoliopsida; Brassicales; Brassicaceae. The record is from RNAcentral.